GAAGUGGUCGGAACUAAGUAGGCUUCUGCGGAUCAUCCGAUUCCGGAGCAACAUUUACCUGUUAUUCCUGAGUAAAUUGAGGAUCCAAGUAAGGUCGUGGUCCCUGCGAAAAGCGUCACCGUUACCUCCUGCUUCUCACGACUUCCGGGAUCCUGGUUUUCCUUCCAACAUUUUCAAUAUAUCAUGCCCAUCCUCUUCCGGCCUGCAAAGUUUCUGCUGCAAUCAGCUCAUGGCCUUAUGGGAGUUCCUUUGCAUCACUUAAGGAUUCUUCUAGAACAAUGGGAUGAAGACAGAGCAGCAGGAGAACUAGUAAUACUGGUGGCGAUUAUGGAAAUAAUGCAUUAGAGGAUCCCAGCAGGAGAAAGGGACCAGGACCGCACCCGAGGCAUCUGGACGUUCCCAGCCCUGGAGUCCAAUCAGAGCUACAGCUGUUGACCUACUGCACAGCUCACAGCAAGGCCGGAUCCCUGACCCAUUGAGCAAGGCCAGGGAUGGAACUGCAUCCUCAUGGAUAGUAGUCUGAUUCAUUCCUCUGCGCCACAGUGAGAAAUCCAUCAUGGUCUUUAUAGAAAAGUUUUAUUUCUUCAUUAAUUUAGGAACAUUCACACACUACAAAGGUUUAGAGACUAAACUUUAGGGCCACCUCUUUUCUUCAAGGAGCUCAUAUUCCAAUGUUGAUAAACUUUGAAUAUGAUAAAUGGCUUUAAAAAUCUACUGAUAGAGAUGCAGUGAUUUGUUAAGAAUAGAAGAUAAUUUUACACUCACUGAAUCAGGGUUGGCCUCACCCAGAAAUGGAGUUUGAAGCACAGCUGGGGCAGGGGCAGAGUUUGAACUUGGGGAGUUAAAGAAGGGGAAACACUCCAGCACAGAGGCCAGGAAUGAGUUCAGCCCGGCAGUUAGUACCAGGAAGUCAAGCCAAAAAUGUGCACUGGAGCCUGAUGAGAGUAAUUCUUAAAUCCUAAAUAAUAAAUAAAAGCUUCAUGUCAUUUCUUUGAGCAAAAUUUAUGGAGUGCCUGCUAUAUUGCAGGCAGUUUUAUCAGCUAAUGAUACCAAGAUAAAUAAACUCAACCCACUGCUGAGAAUCUGGCUAAGCUAUUCCACAGUACCACUGCUAGGUAUGCAUUCUGUGUGGUUGGGUGGCCUUCAUGGGGCCUUGAACUGACACCAGCCCCUCAUGGGAAGGAAGAGCAUGCCCAGGGUCAGGUCACACACAAAUGGACAAAUGGACAUUCUAACGUUACCCCCAGAAGCCUUGUGACCAGGAAUCUCCUUCUUCUGUUUUUUUUUUUUUAAUUUUUAUUUAUUUAUUCAUUCAUUCAUUUAUGUAUUUAUUACUUUUUUUUUUUGCUUUUUAGGGCCGCACUUGUGGCAUAUGGAAAUUCCCAGGAUAGGGGUUGAGUCAGGGCCACAGCUGCCGGCCUGUACCACAGCAAUGGGGGAUCCUAGCCAUGUCUGUAACCUAUACUACAGCUCACCACAAAGCCGGAUCCCUGAUCCACUGAGCUAGGCCAGGGAUCAAACCUGCAUUCUCAUGGAUACUAGUUGGAUUCGUUUCUGCUGCACCACAACAGGAACUCCUGGUACUGCUUUUUUAUAAACAGGAUCAUCAGGGAAGUCCUUCCUGAUGACAUCUGUGGUACUGGAGCCCAGAGCUGAGUUACAGGAAUGGCUGUGCAGAAGCCAUGGCAGGGAUGAGCCAUGACACUAUGGCCAUGGGCUCCAGGAACCUGCAAGGCAGCUGGAUGCCUGCACAGGUCCUGAAAAGAAGAAAAGUGAUUUACUCCAGAGGUGGUCAGAAGGGAGGACAGUAGCACUCAAACCAAGGAAAAUUAAUUCCAUGAUCUGACUCCCAGAGACAGCUGAUGUGUUGACAGAAUUUAAGAAGGAGGUCACUAGGGACCUUUCCCAGAAUUCAGGGGGGAGCAGGGUGUUAAAAAUAGAUGGGAGGAGGAGUUCCCGGUGUGACUCAGUGGGUUACAAACCUGACUAGUAUCCAUGAGGACUUGAGUUCAAUCCCUGGCCUUGCUCAGUGGGUUGAGGAUUCCACAUUGCUGAGGCUGUGGUGUAGGCUGGCAGCUCUAGCUCCGAUUAGACCCUUAGCCUGGGAACUUCCAUAUGUCGCAGGCUCUGCCCUAAAAUGCCAAAAAUAAAUAAAUAAAAAGGGGAAAAAAAACAAAAAUAGAUGGGAAGAAAGGAAACAGCCACUUUUUCAAGAAAUGUGGCUGUGUGGGGAAGGACAUGGCUGGUCACCAGAGAGCACUAUGGGGUCAAGGGUCUAACUCUUUUCUUUUUUAAAACGUGAACUACAUCUGUUUUGAUAUACUGAUUGUGAGGAAGAAAGGGAGUAGUAAUUGGAUCAAGGUUCCAGAGGCGUGGAGACGUUAGCAAUACCCACGGGAAGACUCUCUUAAUGAAAGACUAGGGAGGGAAAAUAGAAGUGCUGCUGACAUGGAUGUUUGCAAUUGAAGGGCAGGGUCUGAUUUUGAAGCUUGAUCAUCUCCAUUUUCUCUGGGAAGAGGAAUUCUCUCUUGCUAUGAGUUUGGAUAAUGAGGUUUAAAAGUUUAAGGAAACUGGAAGUCAUUAAAGGUUUGAAGUCUAGCUGCCUGGGAAUGAGAGUUGCCUCAAAGUAGGAAGAGUCUUUCGCAGACAGCCCUGCUGUCACUGAGAGGAAAGGCUCUCCUCUAGUGGAAAUGCUGUGCUGAAGGCAGACGUAGCUUUCCCUUAAGCCAAGGGGGCAGAUGAAGUGAGGAGGACACGGUGCUAGGACAGAAUCCAGGGCACUAGGACAGAGCAGAAAAGGUGUGCAGGCAGGAGGGUGGAGGUUUUGAUCAGAGGGCUCAGAAGCCCCUGACUUUAAGGGAGUAAGAAUAAGGCAGAAAAUAGAGAAGUAGAAGCUCAUUUGAAUGAGAAUCAAGAAUGAUGAGGGUAUUAGCUGGUCUCAAUUUAAAUUACUGUAUUAAAAGGUACCUUUACCGGAUUGUCCGGAGUGUCCGCUGUGGCUCAUGAGGAUGCGGGUUUGAUCCCUGGCCUCAUUCAGUGGGUUAGGGGAUUCAGCAUUGCCUGUACGUCACAGACACACAUGUGGCUUGGAUCCCACGUUGCUGUGGCUGUGGUGUAGGCCGGCAGCUGGAGCUCCAAUUUGCCCCCUACCCUGGGAACUUCCAUAUNAAAAAAAAAAAAAAAAAAAAAAAAAAAAGUACCUUCAGCAAAAACAUUUCCAUUGCCAUUAUUUUUGGGAAAGGAAAGUGGGCAAAGGGACGAGGGAGGGGGGUGGAGGGAUACUUCAGACUUCACAUUCUUCCAGACUGUCAGGGAAGAUGUCAUGCCAUGAACAUAUACUAUAAUGACUAUUAAAAAGCUGGAAAGAGGAGUUCCCAACUUGGCACAUCGGAAACGAAUCCAACUAGGAAUGAUGAGGUUUAAGCUUCCAUCUCUGGCCUCCAUCAGUGGGUUAAGGAAUUGGCGUUGCCAGGAGCCGUGGUGUAGGUCACAGACAGCUCAGACCGGGCGUGGCUGUGGCUGUGGCUGUGGCAUAAGCCAGCAGCUACGACUCUGAUUAGACCCCUAGCCUGGGAACCUCCAUAGGCCAUGGGUACAGCCCUAAAAAGACAAACGACAGAAAAAAAAA
RNAcentral lists this long non-coding RNA (3628 nucleotides) under Sus scrofa (pig). RNAcentral describes it as "lncRNA (ENSSSCG00040043256.1)". Lineage: Eukaryota; Metazoa; Chordata; Mammalia; Artiodactyla; Suidae. The record is from RNAcentral.